Molecule: transfer RNA, 85 nt
Filed under: Felis catus (domestic cat)
Lineage: Eukaryota; Metazoa; Chordata; Mammalia; Carnivora; Felidae
Rfam family: tRNA
About the family: Transfer RNA (tRNA) molecules are approximately 80 nucleotides in length. Their secondary structure includes four short double-helical elements and three loops (D, anti-codon, and T loops). Further hydrogen bonds mediate the characteristic L-shaped molecular structure. tRNAs have two regions of fundamental functional importance: the anti-codon, which is responsible for specific mRNA codon recognition, and the 3' end, to which the tRNAs corresponding amino acid is attached (by aminoacyl-tRNA synthetases). tRNAs cope with the degeneracy of the genetic code in two manners: having more than one tRNA (with a specific anti-codon) for a particular amino acid; and 'wobble' base-pairing, i.e. permitting non-standard base-pairing at the 3rd anti-codon position.
Source: Rfam by way of RNAcentral
GCCUGGGUGGCUCAGUCGGUUGAGCGUCCGACUUCAGCUCAGGUCAUAAUCUCGUGGUUUGUGAGUUCGAGCCCCGCAUCAGGCU